UUCAAAGUGUUGAACCCUACAAAUACAUACAACUUAGCUAGCUUAAAUUAUUAUACAUUCUUUAGUAAGAAUAUUAGGAGUUAAUACUGUUGACUAAAACAGAAACACAUAAGGGAGUAUAGAAACUCCCUCAUCAUAAGAACAUAACCGCAAUGCUAUCAAGGUUCCAUAAAUGUCGAACCACAUGUGCAUGACCAAACCACACGUAUGUUAUCAAGGUUCCUUCCCAUAAGUAGUACUUCGUAGUUGAUUUUCAUGUGACAGAAAAGAAAAGGUGAAAUCAAUGGUUUUUUAGGUUUUAAAACCAAAAGCAAUAUUUUUUGUUAUCCCUGGGAAAGAAACAUAAAUUAUUUGUUUGAUGGUCUACUGCAUCCAAAUAUUUAACCUAGAAUAACAGAUAUCAGCUAUAACAGAGAAACAAUAUAUACAAUCCUAUGGAGGCUAAAAACAGAUAAAAGGUGCAACACUUCCACAUUUACCUGCAUAUUUCCAAUUAAAUGGGCAAAAAGAACCAGACCCGAGAUAGCAAUAAGUGUAGCAAAUGCAGUUUCCAAACCCUGGCUGAUGGAACUGAAAAUAUAAAAAGCAAAAAACAUCUGUUAAAAGGUUAUAAUAAACCUUCACACAACACUUUUUACCACUACUCACGCAUUCUACGCGGAUGAAGUAUAUAAGUUUGGAAUAGAGCUAUUUUAUGUUGCAAAAAAAAAAAGUGAUUAUAAAUUUAUGAGUCAUGAAGAUAAUCAUAUGUUUAGUCUUUGCAUGAGUACGGAGGAGGGGGACCAAAAGCUUCAAUUAAUUUCCAAGCAUUGAUUCAAAUAGCAAAUAAAGAUGAUAAAGUUUCAUCUGUCAUCACUUGUAAUGGAAUUUAACUUUUUUGGUACUUUCAUAAAUUUGUACCUCACUUUUUUGGAUCACAGCCAUUAAACACCUGAGUAUUGUUUCCUCAUAGUUUGCUUUCAUCUUUAUUCAAAGUACCACAAUCCAAAUAAGAGAGACUGCACUUUCAUGUCUAUAAGCAUACUUGCAGUACGUCACCUGACGCUCAAUUGACAACAGAUACCACGAGGCUCCUAAGACCUACAAGAUCAGAAGGCUAAUCAUUGCAAGACUGCUAAGAGUAGAAUACUAUUCAGACCCAAUAGCAUUUUUAUACAGAAGUAGACAAAAUAGUAAUGCUAAAUCAUCUAAAAUAGAAGAAUGAUAGCCUGUCAUGCUCCAACUGAAGAAUUAAGAAUACUGGAAAACAGAAUUUAGGGAGAGUCUUGCCCUUAGUAUUUUCACAUAAAGUGGUUGUUGCUCUUAAAACUGUUCCUCUACCCUUGAGCAAGACUUCUACCAUUGCAGCAUGCAAUGGCCCAGCUAUUAACAAAAUAUUAGCAUACAAAAUUUGACUUGAGAUUACAUACAUGAUUAGCCAACAUGUAGAGCAGGAGGUUAUAGGCAGCCCCAGCCUAAGCAGUCUUUGUGACUAUUCCAGUGGCUUUGAUGAUCUCAGAAUCGUGGAAAUUACUGGAGAAGAGCAAUCAGUAGAAGAGCAUUGUUGGUAUGAUCAGAAUAGAGCCUCUAAUUGCCAGAACAAUAAACCAUGUCACAAUCUGCAAAAAAUAUGCUUACGAUUCAAAUUCUGUGAAUUAAAAGAGGCUAAUAAUACACAAGCUCCACAUACGAGGAUCCAAAAUAAAAACCUGUGCACAAGCCUGCAACUAAUUUUUUAAAGAAAGGAACAGUCAUAGUCAAGUUUAUUCAAAUGUACCCAAAUUUGAGAAUUGCAAUCAAGGCCUUGAGAAGCGAAGCACAUAGUGACAAAAGCCACUUAUCACUUCUCCAUAAGCUGGUAGAGACUAAGAAAUGAACAAAAACCAAUGCACAGGGCUCCUCAAUAUCAUAAUGCAAUUAAUUAAAUCACAAAAUUAUAAAACGGAACCAAUUUUUCAAUGAUGGCAGCCAUAUCUCCACAAGCUAGUGGGAUCUCAGAAAAGCCAAUACUCAAAAUUCACUACUACUUAAGAGUAUUAAUUAAAUAAAAGAUUAUGGAUAAUGACAUCCAAAAUAGCUUAUUUUUCAAUCUUUAACCUACAACCUGAUGAGAGAAAGGGACUUCUGGGAAGUAAGGAACCAAAUGAAUUAGAAACCCCAUAACUUCCCUCGAUCAAUCUAAUAUAAUCAUAUUCAAAAUAGAAAACCCAUUAUUCAAAGAAAAAAGAACUCCCUCAUGAUUAGUGCUCUAUGACAACACUAGUUGGAGUUAAUACCUGAAAGAUGUGGUAAGAAGAUCUCAGCCUUCCAUAGUUCCAAAUCAGUCAGGAUUAAAAAAAAAAAAAAGAAUUAUAUUUUAAUGUAAAAUAAUACUUCCUCAAACAUUCAAAGUGUUGAACCCUACAAAUACAUACAACUUAGCUAGCUUAAAUUAUUGUACAUUCUCUAGUAAGAAUAUUAGGAGUUAAUACUGUUGACUAAAACAGAAACACAUAAGGAGGUAUAGAAACUCCCUCAUCAUAAGAACAUAACCGCAAGGCUCCUUUCUCCGGAUUGCUCACUGAGAUUAUUGGAAUGCUAGAAGAACUCUUUUCAAGUCUAGA
RNAcentral lists this long non-coding RNA (2582 nucleotides) under Ricinus communis (castor bean). RNAcentral describes it as "long non-coding RNA (RCOM_LNC003244)". The record is from RNAcentral. Lineage: Eukaryota; Viridiplantae; Streptophyta; Magnoliopsida; Malpighiales; Euphorbiaceae.